This 2455-nucleotide long non-coding RNA is filed under the name Salmo salar (Atlantic salmon). RNAcentral describes it as "lncRNA (ENSSSAG00000109855.1)". Lineage: Eukaryota; Metazoa; Chordata; Actinopteri; Salmoniformes; Salmonidae. The record is from RNAcentral.
UCGUGCGUCUUGCAUCUGUUUAUUGAAGAGUAAGGAUCUUAGCUGUAACGUGACAAUUCCCAGGGCUCCAAUAGGCUCUCAGAACCCGGGAAAAACCUGAACGAUGACGAGGCAGCCUCUGGCUGAAACAGAUUAUCGCCUUAUCCAAGUGGCCGAUCAGAGGACCAUUGAAUGAGGCGCGUGCACGAUUCGCCCCCGUGGAGAAAUUUCAUUCGGCUGUUUAGCUUAUUGCAGAUUCCCGGUCGGAAUAUUAUCGCUUUUCUACGAGAUAAAUGGCAUAAAAAUUGGUUUUAAACAGCGGUUGACAUGCUUCGAAGUACGGUAAUGGAAUAUUUAGACAUUUUUUGUCACGCCAUGCUCCAUGCGUGCGACCGUUAUUUACCAUUCGUAUAGUGUCUAGAACGCACGAACAAAACAGAGGAUAUUUGGACAUAACGAUGGAUUAUUUGGGACCAAACCUACAUUUGUUAUUGAAGUAGAAGUCCUGGGAGUGCAUUCUGACGAAGAACAGGAAAGGAAUGGACUACAUCAAGGAUCUCCUGGAAGAACCCUUGCUGCAGCUAGGUGAUGGCACCAGUUUAUCAGAUGAGGAGGACUUCUUCUCUGCCAUGAAAACGUCUCAAGCACAAGAAAGCUCCAAACAGCUGGACGGAUACCUGGCCGGUUCUGUCACGAUUCCCACCGACGGUGGCGCCCCCUCCUGCUCGGGUGGUGCUCGGCGGUCGUCGUCACCGGCCUAUUAGCUGCCACUGAUUCCCUUUUUUGUUUUCCCCCUGUUUGUGAUUGUGUGCACCUGUUCUUAGUGGGGGUGAUUAGCGGGGCUAUUAGUAUUAGCUGGUCCGCUUUCUCAUUGUGCGGGAUUAUUUCCUGUUGCGCUUGUGUUUACGCUUGUGCGUUUGUUUUGCGCCGCAUGUUAUUUCCCCUGUGUUUGGGACACUUUAUUUUGUGUGCGCGUUAUGCGUUGUUUGGGGUGGCUUGUGUGUGCUCGCCUGUUUGACCCUGUUUGACUGGAAGCUUCUGGAAUUCGAACUUCUGUUAUUCGAACUCAAUCAGCAUGACAGAGUGAUCUCCAGCCUUGUCCUCGUCAACACUCACACCUGUGUUAACGAGAGAAUCACUGACAUCAUGUCAGCUGGUCCUUUUGUGGCAGGGCUGAAAUGCAUUGGAAAUGUUUUUUGGGAUUCAGUUCAUUUGCAUGGCAAAGAGGGACUUUGCAAUCAAUUGCAAUUCAUCUGAUCACUCUUCAUAACAUUCUGGAGUAUAUGCAAAUUGCCAUCAUACAAACUGAGGCAGCAGACUUUGUGAAAAUUAAUAUUUGUGUCAUUCUGAAAACUUUUGGCCACGACUGUACACCUGAUGAAAUGUUAACAAGGCGACCAAUGAACACACCAGGGGUGAGAUCUAUGACUGACUGACAGAUAGACAUAACUGAGGCACAGUGUGAUCACAUUGAAGACAUGAAAGAACUAACUUCUAUUGUCAGUUUUCUCCACUCUCACUAGGAAAGCAGCAGAACCAAUCCCAGGUGAGGAUCCAGAUGCUCUGACCAUCUGCGUAGGAGACUGGGUGAAACUGCGAGUCCAUAAAAGAAAAUGGAACCAGCCAAGAUGGACAGGUCCGUUCCAGGUAACCAUGGUAACUCCAACGGCGCUGCGGGUAGCAGAGAGGUCCGGCUGGCAUCAUCUCUCCUACUGCAAGCAUCUCCCAGAUUGGAAGCCAUGGAUGAGUGACUGGAGGGAGGGAGAGCAGGGCUCCGAGAACAUCUGACAGAAGCAGAGGGCCCAGACCAAAUGGCCAGAAAGAAAGAUGAAAAAGAAGGCUCCAGCCAACAAGCAGAAGAAGGAGACAUCAUUUCACACUCACACUCAGGUUCUAUAACUAGGAAACAGAGACUACACCGGGUCUGGUGGUUUGUUUUCCCCAUCAUCCUUUCCAUGGGUCUCCUUGUGGGUGCAGCCACAGGACCCCCUAGGGGAUCUGAGGAAAACAACAAAUGGAUACAAAUGGUGAGAAAAAAAAUUGGAAAUCAGACUAAGAGGCCAGGGACCCAGAUUUUUGUAUUUUGAAAGCCUACAUCAACCACUGAGUUGUUCGGGAGUCAGGUUGUGUCACGUCCUGACCAGUAAAGGGGUCAUUUGUCAUUGUAGUUGGUCAGGGCGAUGCAGGGGGUGUUGUUUUUGUGUGUUUUGGGGUUGGUUUGUUUGUUUUGAGGGGAUUUGUUCUAGUUUUCAUUUUCUAUGUUCAGUUUCUAUGUGUGGCCGAGUAUGGUUUCCAAUCAGAGGCAGGUGUCUUUCGUUGUCUCUGAUUGGAAGCCAUACUUAGGCAGCCCUUUUUUCCUUUGGGUUUGUGGGUGGUUGUUUUCUGUAUGGCCUGUGUGCUUUAUGGAACUGUUUCGUCGUCUGUUUAUUUUGGUUUGAGUGUUCUUCCUAAAUAAAGUAAGAAGAUGAGCACUGUA